This 497-nucleotide ribosomal RNA is filed under the name uncultured bacterium. RNAcentral's name for it is "partial 16S ribosomal RNA". It matches the Rfam family "Bacterial small subunit ribosomal RNA", at positions 28 to 507 of the family's 1533-position model. The record is from RNAcentral.
GAUGAACGCUGGCGGCGUGCCUAAUACAUGCAAGUCGAGCGAACAGACGAGGAGCUUGCUCCUCUGACGUUAGCGGCGGACGGGUGAGUAACACGUGGAUAACCUACCUAUAAGACUGGGAUAACUUCGGGAAACCGGAGCUAAUGCCGGAUAAUAUAUUGAACCGCAUGGUUCAAUAGUGAAAGACGGUUUUGCUGUCACUUAUAGAUGGAUCCGCGCCGCAUUAGCUAGUUGGUAAGGUAACGGCUUACCAAGGCAACGAUGCGUAGCCGACCUGAGAGGGUGAUCGGCCACACUGGAACUGAGACACGGUCCAGACUCCUACGGGAGGCAGCAGUAGGGAAUCUUCCGCAAAGGGCGAAAGCCUGACGGAGCAACGCCGCGUGAGUGAUGAAGGUCUUCGGAUCGUAAAACUCUGUUAUUAGGGAAGAACAAAUGUGUAAGUAACUAUGCACGUCUUGACGGUACCUAAUCAGAAAGCCACGGCUAACUACGUG